This 490-nucleotide ribosomal RNA is filed under the name uncultured bacterium. Its description in RNAcentral is "partial 16S ribosomal RNA". It matches the Rfam family "Bacterial small subunit ribosomal RNA", at positions 30 to 507 of the family's 1533-position model. The record is from RNAcentral.
AUUGAACGCUGGCGGCAGGCCUAACACAUGCAAGUCGAACGGUAACAGGAAUCAGCUUGCUGAUUCGCUGACGAGUGGCGGACGGGUGAGUAAUGUCUGGGAAACUGCCUGAUGGAGGGGGAUAACUACUGGAAACGGUAGCUAAUACCGCAUAACGUCGCAAGACCAAAGAGGGGGACCUUCGGGCCUCUUGCCAUCGGAUGUGCCCAGAUGGGAUUAGCUAGUAGGGGGGGUAAAGGCUCACCUAGGCGACGAUCCCUAGCUGGUCUGAGAGGAUGACAAGCCACACUGGAACUGAGACACGGUCCAGACUCCUACGGGAGGCAGCAGUGGGGAAUAUUGCACAAUGGGCGCAAGCCUGAUGCAGCCAUGCCGCGUGUAUGAAGAAGGCCUUCGGGUUGUAAAGUACUUUCAGCGGGGAGGAAGGGAGUAAAGUUAAUACCUUUGCUCAUUGACGUUACCCGCAGAAGAAGCACCGGCUAACUCCGUG